This is a long non-coding RNA of Branchiostoma belcheri (Belcher's lancelet), 594 nucleotides long. RefSeq lists it as uncharacterized. The record is from RefSeq and is a predicted model, not a curated record. Lineage: Eukaryota; Metazoa; Chordata; Leptocardii; Amphioxiformes; Branchiostomatidae. The transcript has 2 exons.
UCACGUUCGAUCCAGAAAUUGGAGAUAAACAGAGAGAUAAACAGAACCGCGGACGCCCUUGUGCCAAGCACCAUCAUGUCUGAAUUUCCAGCUUACACACGGCGUUACCGGUGGUGACCCGCCUUGGGCUGAGUUCCAACGAUGUUCUGGACCUAGUUUGCCGAAAAUAUCGUGAUAUCUUUCUCUUCAAGGGGAUUUACGUGUUACUGUCCAUCAUGAAGCUGUGUGCAGUAGUGAAUUACAGCAAUUCAACAUACCAUCUAGACAAAUGGACAUGCCAAAAAACAUGGUACCAAACUUGGCUGCUGCGACUGCCCCCACCGUUCAAACUAUUCCCAUUCCCUACUGAGAACAAAAGACCCGAUGCCAGAAGACGGUGGAACAAACUAAUAAACAAGAAAGACUCGGUUAGCAAUAAAAACUGGGUUAACAAGCCACAUGAUAGGGUUUGUUCUCAACACUUUAUAGAUGGCAAACCCACAGCAGCACAUCCUGACCCCGUCCUACAUCUCGGCUACACAGGGCCUUCAUCUGACCAGAAGGUAACGCCAAAGCGACCACCUCCAUCAAAACGUGUUGCGGUUCCUGACCCCC